RNAcentral lists this ribosomal RNA (449 nucleotides) under uncultured bacterium. RNAcentral's name for it is "partial 16S ribosomal RNA". It matches the Rfam family "Bacterial small subunit ribosomal RNA", at positions 29 to 523 of the family's 1533-position model. The record is from RNAcentral.
AGCGAACGCUGGCGGCAGGCCUAACACAUGCAAGUCGAACGAAGUCUUCGGACUUAGUGGCGGACGGGUGAGUAACACGUGGGAACGUGCCUUUAGGUUCGGAAUAACUCAGGGAAACUUGUGCUAAUACCGAAUGUGCCCUUCGGGGGAAAGAUUUAUCGCCUUUAGAGCGGCCCGCGUCUGAUUAGCUAGUUGGUGAGGUAAAGGCUCACCAAGGCGACGAUCAGUAGCUGGUCUGAGAGGAUGAUCAGCCACAUUGGGACUGGGACACGGCCCAAACUCCUACGGGAGGCAGCAGUGGGGAAUCUUGCGCAAUGGGCGAAAGCCUGACGCAGCCAUGCCGCGUGGAUGAUGAAGGUCUUAGGAUUGUAAAAUUCUUUCACCGGGGACGAUAAUGACGGUACCCGGAGAAGAAGCCCCGGCUAACUUCGUGCCAGCCGCCGCUGUAA